This 371-nucleotide unclassified non-coding RNA is filed under the name uncultured bacterium. RNAcentral describes it as "contains 16S-23S intergenic spacer region". The record is from RNAcentral.
UCCUCUUUACAGAGGCAGUUUGUUUCGAGUUCCCGGCAUGACCCGCUGGCAACAAAACAUGAGGGUUGCGCUCGUUGCGGGACUUAACCCAACAUUUCACGACACGAGCUGACGACAGCCAUGCACCACCUGUGAAUCACCCUCGAAGGCGACUACUUUUCGGUAGCUUGCAGAUCCAUGUCAAGCCCUGGUAAGGUUCUUCGCGUUGCAUCGAAUUAAGCCACAUGCUCCACCGCUUGUGCGGGCCCCCGCCAAUUCCUUUGAGGUUUAAUCUUGCGAUCGUAGUUCCCAGGCGGUUCACUUAAUGCGUUAGCUGCGGCACCGAGGCAAAGCCCCAACACCUAGCUCUCAUAGUUUACGGCGUGGACUAC